This 29-nucleotide non-coding RNA is filed under the name Rattus norvegicus (Norway rat). The record is from RNAcentral. Lineage: Eukaryota; Metazoa; Chordata; Mammalia; Rodentia; Muridae.
UGGGAAGCUGGCCACUGACAGAUCUUGGC